AGAGCGUGGAUAUUCUUACAUGGUUUGUUUCGCAUAUUCAUUAUAUAUUUUGAUGUCUUAUAUUGUUAUUUUUUUCAUUGCAUAGUGAGGAAUGAUUGCUUUUGCAAUGGCCAAAAAAUUGUUGUUUUGUUGCUGUGAUAUGGGAAUGCCAAUUUGGCAAAAUUUUAACCGUUGAGUUGCCCUUGAAUUUUUUUACAUUUGAUGUAAUUCUUUAUUUUUAUUUAAAUGGGAAAAAAAAGUAGACCUUGUAUUUUUAGUGGUGGAUUUCUUGGGCGUUCUAGAAUGAUGUUUGAUUUCAAAGGUGUUAUUCUUCAUUUUCUAUUCAUAUCUUAAAGUCAAAUUUUUCAAGUUUGACAAGUAAUUAUGCUAAAUAAGACUUUUCCUCAGGACAUUAUUGAGGUUUGC
Molecule: unclassified non-coding RNA, 405 nt
Filed under: Hevea brasiliensis (rubber tree)
Lineage: Eukaryota; Viridiplantae; Streptophyta; Magnoliopsida; Malpighiales; Euphorbiaceae
Source: RNAcentral